AUGAGCGCAAGAGCGGAGAUGUCUCCCCGCCGCCGCCGCCGCCGCGCCUCUCCGCCGCCUGCCUCUCUGCCGGACGACGACGACAUGCUCCGGGAGAUUCUCCUCCGCCUCCCCCCGCGGCCUUCCUCCCUCCCGCGGGCCUCCCUCGUCUCCAAGCGUUGGCGCAGCCUCGUCGCCGAUCCCCAAUUCCAACGCCGCUUCCGCAAUCACCACGGCAAGCCUCCUCUCCUUGGCUUCUUCGUCGAAGACCGUCGCUCCUGUCCGUUUUUUCCAAUGCUGGGCCGACCGGAUCGCAUCCCCCGCGCUCGCUUCUCCAUGCCUCCCAACAAGGACGACCGUAUCCCCGGCGCUCGCUUCUCCAUGUCUCUCAACGGGGACAACCGCAUCGUCGACUGCCGCCACGGACUUGUACUUUUCCUCGGCCGCGGCCCGCCGCACCACCUACUUGUGUGGGACCCCGUCGCCCGCGAGCAGCGCCACCUGUUCCUCCCACCAGAGCUGGACCAGUUGAGCUUCUUCAACGCAGCGGUGCUUCGCCCUACCCGUGGCCAUUUCCAGGUGGCCCUGAUAGCAUUUGCAGGAAUAACAAGAUUUUCCGCAUGCCUUUACUCAUCGGAGACUGGCAUAUGGGGCAAUAUCAACUCACUGGAGCUGGAAUCGCAUAUACUACCUUUGGAAGGAGCCGGUACUUUGAUUGGUAAUUCCCUAUGCUGGUUACUUCGGGUGCUUCCUCACUAUGCCAUACUUGAGUUUGAUCUGGAUACACAGAGCCUAGCUGUGGCAGAGCUGCCAGCACUCGAAGGCGACCAAGAAUUAAGGAUUAUACCUGCCGAAGAUGGUAGGCUUGGCUUCAUCCAUGUCUCGCAAUUCCAUGCCCAAUUAUGGAAGAGAAAGCCCGAUUCUGAUGGUUUGGCUGUAUGGGUGCUUGAUAGAGCUAUUGAAUUCGAGGAGCUCAGAUCAACUUACAAGGGAGACUCUAUCACUUUAGUGGGUUUCGCCGAGGAGAGUAAUGCAGUCCUUGCACUGACAGUUUCUGGUGUCUUCAUGGUCUAUCUCCAGUCAGUGGAGUUUAAGAAAAUUUCCAACGUGAGGUCCAAUUUUACCUAUUAUCCAUUUGCAUGUUGCUAUGCUGCAGGAACUGGCAUUCUUGAUGGACAUGAUGGAGAUGAAGUGUUGAACAAUAUGUGA
RNAcentral lists this ribosomal RNA (1188 nucleotides) under Triticum aestivum (bread wheat). RNAcentral describes it as "partial small subunit ribosomal RNA". Lineage: Eukaryota; Viridiplantae; Streptophyta; Magnoliopsida; Poales; Poaceae. The record is from RNAcentral.